AGAGUUUGAUCCUGGCUCAGGACGAACGCUGGCGGCGCGCCUAACACAUGCAAGUCGAACGAGCGAGAGAGAGCUUGCUUUCUCAAGCGAGUGGCGAACGGGUGAGUAACGCGUGAGGAACCUGCCUCAAAGAGGGGGACAACAGUUGGAAACGACUGCUAAUACCGCAUAAGCCCACGGGUCGGCAUCGACCAGAGGGAAAAGGAGCAAUCCGCUUUGAGAUGGCCUCGCGUCCGAUUAGCUAGUUGGUGAGGUAAUGGCCCACCAAGGCAACGAUCGGUAGCCGGACUGAGAGGUUGAACGGCCACAUUGGGACUGAGACACGGCCCAGACUCCUACGGGAGGCAGCAGUGGGGAAUAUUGCACAAUGGGGGAAACCCUGAUGCAGCGACGCCGCGUGGAGGAAGAAGGUCUUCGGAUUGUAAACUCCUGUUGUUGAGGAAGAUAAUGACGGUACUCAACAAGGAAGUGACGGCUAACUACGUGCCAGCAGCCGCGGUAAAACGUAGGUCACAAGCGUUGUCCGGAAUUACUGGGUGUAAAGGGAGCGCAGGCGGGAAGACAAGUUGGAAGUGAAAUCUAUGGGCUCAACCCAUAAACUGCUUUCAAAACUGUUUUUCUUGAGUAGUGCAGAGGUAGGCGGAAUUCCCGGUGUAGCGGUGGAAUGCGUAGAUAUCGGGAGGAACACCAGUGGCGAAGGCGGCCUACUGGGCACCAACUGACGCUGAGGCUCGAAAGUGUGGGUAGCAAACAGGAUUAGAUACCCUGGUAGUCCACACCGUAAACGAUGAU
RNAcentral lists this ribosomal RNA (792 nucleotides) under uncultured bacterium. Its description in RNAcentral is "bacterial SSU rRNA". It matches the Rfam family "Bacterial small subunit ribosomal RNA", at positions 8 to 813 of the family's 1533-position model. The record is from RNAcentral.